Molecule: ribosomal RNA, 497 nt
Filed under: uncultured bacterium
Lineage: Bacteria
Description: partial 16S ribosomal RNA
Rfam family: Bacterial small subunit ribosomal RNA
Source: RNAcentral
GAUGAACGCUGGCGGCGUGCCUAAUACAUGCAAGUCGAGCGAACAGACGAGGAGCUUGCUCCUUCGACGUUAGCGGCGGACGGGUGAGUAACACGUAGGUAACCUACCCAUAAGACUGGGAUAACUUCGGGAAACCGGAGCUAAUACCGGAUAAUAUUUCGAACCGCAUGGUUCGAUAGUGAAAGAUGGCUUUGCUAUCACUUAUAGAUGGACCUGCGCCGUAUUAGCUAGUUGGUAAGGUAACGGCUUACCAAGGCAACGAUACGUAGCCGACCUGAGAGGGUGAUCGGCCACACUGGAACUGAGACACGGUCCAGACUCCUACGGGAGGCAGCAGUAGGGAAUCUUCCGCAAUGGGCGAAAGCCUGACGGAGCAACGCCGCGUGAGUGAUGAAGGUCUUCGGAUCGUAAAACUCUGUUAUUAGGGAAGAACAAACGUGUAAGUAACUGUGCACGUCUUGACGGUACCUAAUCAGAAAGCCACGGCUAACUACGUG